This 1306-nucleotide long non-coding RNA is filed under the name Felis catus (domestic cat). Its description in RNAcentral is "lncRNA (ENSFCAG00000053000.1)". Lineage: Eukaryota; Metazoa; Chordata; Mammalia; Carnivora; Felidae. The record is from RNAcentral.
AUGAUUUUUAAAGAUAUGCUGUGUAAUACAGGAGGGAGUGAGAAUGGGAAAUCCGAUGACUUCAGGAGUUCAAGGAAGAAAUUCAUGGAAGAGAUUGGUGAUGAUGUCAGCAAGAUCUGCAGACCCACACAAGGUCUGCAUGUAGGCUGUGAUUCUGCGGGGCUCUGCUGGAUCGGCUUGCUUGAUUCCAGGCCCAGGUCUGUUGUAUGUAUCUCCUCAUCCUGGGACCAUUGGCUACGCAAGGUUUGAUCUUCUCACGGUCGAUGGCGGAAGUUCAAGAGAUCAAGCUGAGUCACAGAGGCACAUUUAAAGCCUCUGCUUCUAUUGCAUCUACUCACACUACUGGCCACAGCAAGUCACAUGACCAAGACUGACAACCACGGGUCAGAAAGAAUACUCUACCCACAGUGAGAAAAUGUCAAAGGUACAAGGAUGUUUAAUUCUGUAAUGCAGGGAGUGAAAGGUUGGAAACAGUAAGUCAGUCUUUCAUAGUAUUCAAGGAAGUGAGGUACUUCUCCAUUUUUUCAGAAAUCUCAUGUAUGUCUGAGUAUUUUGGUAAUUUUUUUCAAGAAAUCUUUUCUAUUUCCUGUUAGAUUUAUUGCAAAACACCAUUAUCCUUUUUGUCUAAAUUUAAAAAUAAUUUUUUUAAAGUUUAUUUAUAUUUGAGAGAGAGAAAGAGAGACAGACAGACCUUGAGCAGGGGAGGGCAGAGAGACAGAGACAGAAUCCGAAGCAGGCUCCAGGCUCCGAGCUGCAAGCUGUCAGCACAGAACCUGAUGCGGGCCUUGAACCCACGAGCAAUGAGAUCAUGACCUGAGCCAAAGUCAGAUGCUUAACCAACUGAACGCCCCUUGUCUAAAUUUUUACUUAAAAAAUUACAUAUGCAUACAUGGUAAAAACUUCAAAAAGGAGUACUGAAAGAUAUUAACAGUGAACAUAAGGGUGGCCCUUCCCAAGAGGCAAAUCCUGGGUUUCUUUUCAGAGAUAUUCUGUGUGUGUACAAACAACAAACAAAUAUUUUGGUUUUUUUAGUGUUAAGUUUUUAUUUUAAUUCUGGUUGAGUUAACAUACAUAACCAAAUAUUUUCUUACAUUAAAAAAAUACAAAAUGCGGGCGCCUGGGUGGCUCAGUUGGUUAAAUGUCCAACUUCUGCCCAAGUCAUGAUAUCACCGAUCAUGGGUUCGAGCCCUGCGUCGGGCUCUGUGCUGACAGCUCAGAGCCUGGAGCCUGCUUCUGAUUCUGUGUCUGCCUGUCUCUUUCCAUCUCUCAAAAAUGAAUAAAUGUUAAAAAAAAUGUUUUUAAUACA